Molecule: ribosomal RNA, 413 nt
Filed under: uncultured bacterium
Lineage: Bacteria
Description: bacterial SSU rRNA
Rfam family: Bacterial small subunit ribosomal RNA
Source: RNAcentral
GUGCCAGCAGCCGCGGUAAUACGGAGGGUGCAAGCGUUAAUCGGAAUCACUGGGCGUAAAGGGUGAGUAGGUGGCCAAGUAUGUCAGGUGUGAAAUCCCGGGGCUUAACCCCGGAACUGCGCCUGAAACUACUUGGCUAGAGUCUCGGAGAGGAUAGUGGAAUUCCAAGUGUAGCGGUGAAAUGCGUAGAUAUUUGGAGGAACACCAGUGGCGAAGGCGACUAUCUGGACGAGUACUGACGCUCAAUCACGAAAGCGUGGGUAGCGAAAGGGAUUAGAUACCCCUGUAGUCCACGCCGUAAACGUUGCACACUAAGUUUCGGAGGAUUCGACCCCUUCGGAGCUCAAGCUAACGCGUUAAGUGUGCCGCCUGAGGACUACGGCCGCAAGGCUAAAACUCAAAGGAAUUGACGG